Molecule: ribosomal RNA, 253 nt
Filed under: uncultured bacterium
Lineage: Bacteria
Description: partial 16S ribosomal RNA
Rfam family: Bacterial small subunit ribosomal RNA
Source: RNAcentral
UACGUAGGCAGCAAGCGUUGUUCGGAGUUACUGGGCGUAAAGGGUGUGUAGGCGGUUCCUUUAGUUUGCUGUGAAAUCUCCCGGCUUAACCGGGAGGGUGCGGUGAAUACUGAGGGACUAGAGUACGGGAGAGGAAAGUGGAAUUCCUGGUGUAGCGGUGAAAUGCGUAGAUAUCGUGAGGAAGACCGGUGGCGAAGGCGGAUCUCUGGACAGUUCCUGACGCUGAGGCGCGAAGGCCAGGGGAGCAAACGGG